RNAcentral lists this ribosomal RNA (254 nucleotides) under Escherichia coli. RNAcentral describes it as "partial 16S ribosomal RNA". It matches the Rfam family "Bacterial small subunit ribosomal RNA", at positions 1 to 251 of the family's 1533-position model. Lineage: Bacteria; Pseudomonadati; Pseudomonadota; Gammaproteobacteria; Enterobacterales; Enterobacteriaceae. The record is from RNAcentral.
AAAUUGAAGAGUUUGAUCAUGGCUCAGAUUGAACGCUGGCGGCAGGCCUAACACAUGCAAGUCGAACGGUAACAGGAAGCAGCUUGCUGCUUCGCUGACGAGUGGCGGACGGGUGAGUAAUGUCUGGGAAACUGCCUGAUGGAGGGGGAUAACUACUGGAAACGGUAGCUAAUACCGCAUAACGUCGCAAGACCAAAGAGGGGGACCUUCGGGCCUCUUGCCAUCGGAUGUGCCCAGAUGGGAUUAGCUAGUAG